Molecule: long non-coding RNA, 4446 nt
Organism: Meriones unguiculatus (Mongolian gerbil)
Lineage: Eukaryota; Metazoa; Chordata; Mammalia; Rodentia; Muridae
Exons: 3
Source: RefSeq, a predicted model, not a curated record
AGGAUUGUUCCUGCCUGAAGAAUUCAGGCAAUGAGGGAGACAGGGAAAUGGGUUUUAAAAGAUGGUUUUAUGCCCAAUUAGCACACCAAACAUCUUUGCUUCCUGUCCUGACUUCUGAAAAAUCCAAAAUGAAUCUCCAGCGCUUUUAUUAUGAAGUGGGGAAUCGCGUUUCACACCAACUCUGGCUAUUCUGUGCCUGAACUGGGUAGGACACUGGGGUCUCAAUCAUAUGACUUCAAGUAAGCCAGAUGGGACUUUUCUCUUACCUGGGGCUUUUAGCGUCUAGCUGGCACCAGGACAAAGGUCUCUGUGGCCCAGUGAGUCAGCCUUCCUCACAGUGCACAGCCGGUAUUCCAAACAGCCCUGGAGACUUGUCCCACAGGACAGCGCGGACCAGGAAGUGUGGAGAGCCAGCGGGGACUGUGCAGGAGCAAAUCAGCCUAGGACUGACUGAGGAGAAGCUGCAGGCUCCAGCAAAGUAGAGCUUUUGUGUUGCAGGAGCAGCCUCACCACCGAAUACACGCCCCACCCUGCUGCUUUGAAAGUAGCAAGACAUGAAGAGUAUGUCCAGAUCAGCAGGUGGACUGAGCCAGCCCCAGCUCCAACUCACCCUGCGCAGCCUGUCUGCCCUCCUGCGGACUAAAGACCUUUACAAAUCUAAAGCCAGGCCCCUGACGCCCUCAGUUUUUACUCACUCUUUGCGGCCUUGGUUGCCUACAGAGGGCGCUGAGGCCAGGCACUACGGAGGCUGGCCAUUCUCCUUCAGGGUUCUCCCUAACAGAUCUGUCACCUGACUGGUUGGUUUUGCCUUCGAUGUCCCACACACAUCCACAUGAGACUCUGAGAGACGAUGGUGAGCUUUCUUAGUAAGAAGGUAGAGAGCAUUGCUACCUGUGCGUUAGACCAGCCCUGGCAGGGAAAUGGCCCUCAUCUGUGGGAAUCAGAGAUCUGACUGCCUCCAAGUAUCCUAGGCAGCCCCCACUUCAGGGUCACACCAUGGCUCCCCAGUGCCCCCCCCCCAGCCAUGAGGACAAGAUUGUAGUGUUUCGUGGAGUGCCAGCCCAUCUUCACACCUCCAGAGCCCAGAGCCCACCUGUGAGGUGGAGCACACUGGGAACCUGUUCUGGCGCUGUGUGCCAAGUGCCUGCUGUCCAAAGUAUGUUUAGUCAGCCUUAUCUCUGAUAAGUGCCUGGGAAAUAGGAGGCCAUGGACAGCCCCAGGGCUCCAUUCACAGGUGUGACAUUCAGGGCAACUCCCUGAAUGUCCUCACCACUUCAUCUUCCUUGGGAAGCUCUGGACAAACAGCAGGACAGCAGGUCAAUUGCUCACAGGCUUUGCCAAGAGAAACAAAUAUGGCCACACUUCUGUUAAUGAUGGCUCUGUGAUACGGAGGACGGAAGUUUCUCCUCUCUGCUGAUGCCACAGGAAGUUCAGGACCAGCUUUCCUCUUAAUCACUCCACCUCCCCACCCCCAACCCUGCCUGUCUACCCUUAAACAAAAAGUUCCUCCACUCUGGCAUCCCAGAGCAAAAUUCUCGGGAAAGAGUGACUGAGGCAGACCAGCAUGCGCCUGAGCCAUACAUCCAGCCACAGAUGAAAGUCACCCCAGGCAGGUGUUCAAAGACCGGUCUGUGGGUGGGACAGGACUGACAUCUGGGAGAACGAGGCUGUAUGCAGCCAUGGGGGCUGCGGGGGGGGGGACUCUAACCAGGCAAGCUCCUUCCAGGUGGGGCCAGGUCAGGCUUCCCUCCAGUACUGUGUGUGCCGCUGCAGAGGGGCAGUCUGCUACCUCCACUCUGUCUCCACUAACCACUCACAGAGAAAGGGAAGGCCAGGACAAGAUUGCUUCUGGUCUCUAAAUUCUAAAAACACAGUAUUAACAUGUAACUCACUCAGCAAAUCUAUGGUGCAUAGAAAGCGUGCCUGUAAUAUUGUCAGCGGAGUCUGUCUUCCUCGGUGCUCUGCCACACUCAGCACUUCCACCAUACCAAGUACUCCACCACACUCAGUGCUCCCACCACACUCAGUGAGUGCUCCACCACACUCAGUGCUCUCAUCACAUCUUCCAACACGUCCACAGUCGACAUACUCAGUUCAAAGACUUUGAUCACAAAUCCUGGGUUCAACCAUCACCUGACACCAGUUGUAAUUCCUGGAGUCAGGCUUGCAGAAUAUUUUUCAGAGCCACAAAAGACAAAAUCGGUACCAUUUGGGCUUCCACCAGGGAUGCUAGGAGCAAGCUGCUGCAGCAAUCCCUCUCCAUCACGUGGGUGUCUCUGUGGGAUCCUUGUUUCCCUGCUUUGACUGCUUCCCUGAAUGUUUUCUUUAAAGACACAUUGGCAUUUUGUUGCGUGUCAGUGUUGUGGCAAGAGGCCAGAGACAAAACUGUAGACACAGUCUUGAUCUCUGGCUUCGCGGACAUCUCCUCUGAUGGGGGCAGUGUUCUCGGGUCCUGUGCUGUGGCGUGCAGUUUCUUCCCACAUGCCUUACAGGUUGUGCCUGCUGAGGGAUCUGGAGUUAGUCCAGAGACCAGGUUAAAACUGAGUUAAAACUUGAGGGGUGUUCCAAGCAGCUGUGGCAAGCAGGGAGAUUCUGGACACCCCAGCCAGCCAGAAUAGUGGCAGGAGGCAGACAGGGGUCAGAUGCGAGAUGACAAAAUCAUCCAGCAGCCUGUGGCAGAAGCCUGGAGGCAGGUAAGAGUUUGCAGUAUGCAAACAGGCAGGAGGCCAAGGCUGCGUUUUCUGAUAUUGACCUCUGUCUGACUGGUUGUUUGCCUCUUAACUCACAGACAGGUUGUUUGUUUGUUUUUAAUAAAAGUCCAAUUAUUCUAUGCCUUCUAUGAUAUUUGCAUUUCCAUUUAAUAGCAUUCUUGGCCAUAUUUGGAUGUGAUAUAGGCCCACCCCUUUCUCUGCGACGCUGCAUGGUUUUUGCAUUCUAUGGAACUAACUAACAUACUUUACCUUGCGGCCAACUCUCUCCUCAUCGACAUGUCAGCAUGUGCCAUUUGUAAAGUAUGCCUGUAACUUAGACGAGGCUUACGGCCAUGGAACGAAUGGCUGAGCGAGCGCCAGUGAGAUGACUGACGAGUUGGCCUCGCUCCCAACCCACAGCACAGAAGCUCUGCUCCCCCAUGCUCCUCUACAUCUCUGCAGCUCAAUACUGCUCCUUGCAGCUCCCUAGGUUUUCCUAGGAGCUCCCCACAAUUCCCACAUGCUCUCUGCAGCUCCUAGCCCUGUUACUCAUGACUCUUGGCUGGCUGGCUGCUGGUUGGAAGACAUAGCUUAUUGUAUUAUUCCAUCCUGACCAAAUACUUUAAACGUAAAAAAAAAAAAAAAAAAAAAUUAUGACAUAAGAGAAUGGAGAGAUGUCCCCCAUUGGUGAAGUACUUGCUGUGUAAUCAUGUGGACCUGAGUUCAGAUCCCCUAAAAUCACAGAAAGAGCUUGGCACGGAAGCUAGCCUGGAAUUGAAGCACUGGGAGGCAUUCUUGGGGCUUGAUGGCCAGCUGGCCUAGCCAGUGGGCUCCGGAUUCAUCGAGAGACCCUGUCUCAAAAAAUGAUGUGGAGAGCAAUAGAUUGGGCACGGGCUGCAUAAGGAAGAUAGCUGAGCUGGCCAUGGUGCUGUUAGAAACAACCCACAAAAUGAAACUGACUUGGCAAGGCAAUUUCUUUUUGUGAAAAAAAAAAAAGUAUGCUGCAGAACCCCAACCGGGCUAGCAAGCACAUGAUGUGCAUUUGUGUGUGUGUGUGAGAGAGAGAGAGAAAGGGAGAAAAAGCACACGUGGUUUUGUUCUAAUUCAGAUAGCGGCUGUGGUCCUACCCCUCAGUCUUUCACAGCUGUUAGUUUCAAAUGAAUGAUACAGAAGAAAUGAAGGGAAGUUGGAAGGGACUGCUGUAGGCCACCAAGAUCUGGGAAGACAGUGGGGCCUUUAUAGAAACAAAUAUCAGCCAGGCGCGGUGGCACACACCUAUAAUCCCAGCACUCUGGGAGGCAGAGGCAGGCAAAUCUCUGUGAGUUAGAGGCCAGCCUGGUCUACAAAUCGAGUCCAGGACAGCCAAGGCAACACAGGGAAAUCCUGUCUUGAAAGAUCAAGAGAGAGACAGAGCCAGAGAUCUAAAAAAUAAAUAUGCCCUUAACCUGUAAGCCCCACUUGCCCUAGGACAGAGAACUUCCUAGAAUUCUAGGGGUGGCUGCUGUUCAUGUUUGAUAACAACCCAUGUGUUUUCACUUCCAUAAACAAGUUUGGUUGCCCCAACUUGCAGGAUGUGCUUGAUCGCCCGUCAGUGGGAGGUGCAUAGGUAGGAAGAACAGCAGGAAGUAUGUUUGCCCCCACUGGAAAAGGGGAAGAAAUAUACAGCUUUCCGGGUUUUGCCUUCAUAAGCACAUGACUAACAUACUUUGUGGACAUUCUUGGAAUUACAGAUAUGGACUUGACCUGUUUCUUAUUG